Molecule: ribosomal RNA, 902 nt
Filed under: uncultured bacterium
Lineage: Bacteria
Description: bacterial SSU rRNA
Rfam family: Bacterial small subunit ribosomal RNA
Source: RNAcentral
UGCCAGCAGCCGCGGUAAUACAGAGGUCCCAAGCGUUGUCGGAUUCACUGGGCGUAAAGGGUGCGCAGGUGGGUUGGCAAGUUUGAUGUGAAAGCCCCGGGCUUAACCCGGGAAUGGCAUUGAAUACUGCUGAUCUGGAGGAUUGGAGGGGGGACUGGAAUUCUUGGUGUAGCAGUGAAAUGCGUAGAUAUCAAGAGGAACACCAGUGGCGAAGGCGAGUCCCUGGACAAUACCUGACACUGAGGCACGAAAGCCAAGGGAGCAAACAGGAUUAGAUACCCUGGUAGUCUUGGCUGUAAACGGUGCGCAUUUGCUGUAAACGGAAUCGACCCCGUUUGUGGCGAAGCUAACGCGAUAAAUGCGCCGCCUGGGAAGUACGGUCGCAAGAUUAAAACUCAAAGAAAUUGACGGGGGCCUGCACAAGCGGUGGAGUAUGUGGCUUAAUUCGAUGCAACGCGAAGAACCUUACCUGGCCUUGACAUGCAAGUGGUAGAACCAUGAAAGUGGGACGAUCCCGCAAGGGAAGCUUGCACAGGUGCUGCAUGGCUGUCGUCAGCUCGUGUCGUGAGAUGUUGGGUUAAGUCCCGCAACGAGCGCAACCCUUGUGUCCUGUUGCCACUCCCUCGAGAGAGGGAAGCACUCUGGACAGACUGCCUCGCUUAAACGAGGAGGAAGGUGGGGAUGACGUCAAGUCAGUAUGGCCCUUACGGCCAGGGCUGCACACGUACUACAAUGCAUGGCACAAAGGGAAGCUAGACCGCAAGGUGGAGCAAAUCCCAUAAAACCAUGCCCAGUUCAGAUUGUCGUCUGCAACUCGACGACAUGAAGCCGGAAUCGCUAGUAAUGGCGCAUCAGCUACGGCGCCGUGAAUACGUUCCCAGGCCUUGUACACACCGCCCGUA